Marmota monax (woodchuck) is the source of this 592-nucleotide long non-coding RNA. RefSeq lists it as uncharacterized. The transcript is spliced from 5 exons. The record is from RefSeq and is a predicted model, not a curated record. Lineage: Eukaryota; Metazoa; Chordata; Mammalia; Rodentia; Sciuridae.
CUUGAGGCUCUCGGCCUCGCUUUUCAGCGACGCCAGCGUCUCGUUCUCCUGCAGCCCGUCGGUUGCCAUCUUUGCGCGCGGACACGGCCGGGAGGGAAUCGCCGAGCGGGGAUGCGUUUCUUUUUGAGGUGAUGGAAGUGCUCUGGAAUCAGUGGUGAAGAUUGCACAUCCUUGUACAUAUGCUGAACACCACUGAAUCUUUUUAAAAUGAGUCACACUUGGAACCGACCAGCCAACAACCAACUGACCAACUAGGCAGGAAGGUGAGAAGUUUCUGCUGCAGUGUGAAGGUGUGAAAGCCACUGGCCCCUAAUCUCCUUAUGAUGCAAACUUUGGCAUGUUUGAUCCCAUGAAUCUGCAUCCACUCCACUGAGCAACCCUGGGACUGCAUGUGGUCAGCAUCUCUCAGUGUUGCCCCCACCCCCUUCAGCUGUUCAGAACUGAUCAAGAUUAUAUGGCUUGGAGGAACCAGUGCAUUGACCUUUUCUCCUGCUAUAAUCUAUUGAGAAAGCCUAGCUUGAAACUGCUGGGGAUCUGAAUCAUUUCCAGAGCAUGUGGAGAGGCAGUAAAAGGAAAUGUGACUUGAAAGAGG